UACGGAGGGGGCAAGCGUUGUUCGGAAUUACUGGGCGUAAAGGGCUCGUAGGCGGCCAACUAAGUCAGACGUGAAAUCCCUCGGCUUAACCGGGGAACUGCGUCUGAUACUGGAUGGCUUGAGUGUGGGAGAGGGAUGCGGAAUUCCAGGUGUAGCGGUGAAAUGCGUAGAUAUCUGGAGGAACACCGGUGGCGAAGGCGGCAUCCUGGACCAUUACUGACGCUGAGUGAGCGAAAGCCAGGGGAGCAAACGGG
RNAcentral lists this ribosomal RNA (254 nucleotides) under uncultured bacterium. RNAcentral's name for it is "partial 16S ribosomal RNA". It matches the Rfam family "Bacterial small subunit ribosomal RNA", at positions 524 to 776 of the family's 1533-position model. The record is from RNAcentral.